Molecule: ribosomal RNA, 303 nt
Filed under: uncultured bacterium
Lineage: Bacteria
Description: bacterial SSU rRNA
Rfam family: Bacterial small subunit ribosomal RNA
Source: RNAcentral
UCGGGAAUAUUGCGCAAUGGAGGAAACUCUGACGCAGUGACGCCGCGUAUAGGAAGAAGGUUUUCGGAUUGUAAACUAUUGUCCACAGGGAAGAUAAAAGACUGUACCUGUGAAGAAAGCUCCGGCUAACUACGUGCCAGCAGCCGCGGUAAUACGUAGGGAGCAAGCGUUAUCCGGAAUUAUUGGGUGUAAAGGGUGCGUAGACGGGAUAACAAGUUAGUUGUGAAAUACCUCGGCUCAACUGGGGAACUGCAACUAAAACUAUUAUUCUUGAGUGCAGGAGAGGAAAGUGGAAUUCCUAGU